GGGGAAAUCGUCUAGUGGUAAGACACAGACUUUGCAUCUACAGUGCAACAUGUCUGCAACCGGUGUUCGAUUCACCGUUUCUCCA
Molecule: non-coding RNA, 85 nt
Organism: Trichosporon asahii var. asahii CBS 2479
Lineage: Eukaryota; Fungi; Basidiomycota; Tremellomycetes; Trichosporonales; Trichosporonaceae
Source: the annotation of a RefSeq genome assembly